CAGGGCCCACUCAUAUCUGAUGCAUAUAAGCAGGAGAUAUACAAAGCUCUCACUCCACUCUCUACCUUCUUCUCUAUACCAUAGGAUUUCCAGAUAACCGCCGCUUGAAGAGAUAAGAUCGCCAUUGCAAAGAGAUGGCCUCAGCACAAGCGAUAUUCACGUCAGCUCUAUCCAGUAGGAGCAACUGUUCUUCACUUUCAAAGCUCUCGAACAGCACUUUCUUAUCUGGUUUUGACAUUGUUGGGAGUGUGGUUAUUUCAAGAAAGAACCAAUUUAUAAGCCCUGCAGCAACAUUGACCUUUGAUCCACCAACUACGAAUUCGGAGACUAAAAAACAAAGGAAACACACAGUUGAUCCUGCUGCUCCUGAUUUCCUCCCACUUCCGUCUUUUGAACAAUGUUUCCCUAAGAGCACAAAGGAGAACAAGGAAAUCAUUCAUGAACCAUCUGGUCAUGUCCUCAAAGUUCCAUUCAGAAGAAUCCAUCUUUCUGGAGAUGAACCGCAUUUUGACACUUAUGAUACAAGUGGACCACAAAACAUAAACCCGCGUGAAGGUCUCCCCAAAUUGCGCAAAGAAUGGAUUGAUAGGCGGGAGAAGUUAGGUGGAGAAAGGUUCACUCAAAUGUUCUAUGCCAAACAGGGAAUCAUAACCGAGGAAAUGGCGUAUUGUGCUGCUCGUGAGAAUCUCGAUCCCGAAUUUGUAAGGUCUGAGGUUGCUCGUGGUCGUGCUAUUAUCCCUUCAAACAAGAGACACUUAGAAUUGGAACCCAUGAUCGUUGGAAGAAACUUCUUGGUAAAAGUUAACGCAAACAUAGGAAAUUCUGCUGUUGUGAGCUCCAUCGAAGAAGAAGUUCACAAACUCCAAUGGGCAACCAUGUGGGGGGCAGACACUAUCAUGGAUCUCUCCACUGGUCGACACAUCCACGAAACCCGAGAGUGGAUCCUCCGCAACUCGGCUGUACCUGUUGGCACGGUUCCCAUUUACCAAGCACUGGAGAAAGUUGACGGAAUUGCAGAGAACUUGACUUGGGAAGUCUUCAGGGAAACUUUGAUUGAGCAAGCAGAACAGGGUGUGGAUUACUUCACAAUCCAUGCCGGUGUUCUGCUUCGAUAUAUUCCCUUAACUGCCAAGCGCAUGACUGGAAUCGUUUCUCGUGGAGGGUCCAUUCAUGCGAAAUGGUGCUUGGCUUAUCAUAAGGAGAACUUUGCCUAUGAACACUGGGAUGAUAUUCUCGACAUAUGUAAUCAAUACGAUAUAUCUCUAUCUAUUGGUGAUGGGUUAAGACCCGGUUCAAUUUAUGAUGCUAACGAUACUGCUCAGUUUGCUGAGCUCUUAACUCAAGGAGAAUUGACCCGCAGGGCUUGGAAAAAGGACGUGCAGGUUAUGAAUGAAGGACCAGGGCAUAUUCCACUUCACAAGAUCCCUGAAAACAUGCAGAAACAGUUGGAAUGGUGUAACGAAGCACCAUUCUACACACUUGGGCCAUUAACAACAGAUAUUGCUCCAGGUUACGAUCACAUCACUUCAGCAAUUGGUGCUGCCAAUAUCGGAGCACUUGGAACAGCUUUGCUUUGUUACGUUACCCCAAAAGAGCACUUGGGCUUACCCAAUAGAGACGAUGUGAAAGUGGGUGUUAUAUCGUAUAAGAUAUCAGCUCAUGCAGCCGACUUAGCGAAAUCCCACCCUCAUGCACAAGCUUGGGAUGAUGCUUUAAGCAAGGCUAGAUUUGAGUUUAGGUGGAUGGACCAAUUUGCAUUGUCUCUUGAUCCUAUGACUGCUAUGUCUUAUCAUGAUGAAACUUUGCCUUCCGAUGGUGCUAAAGUGGCGCAUUUCUGUUCGAUGUGUGGUCCUAAAUUCUGUUCCAUGAAAAUCACGGAAGAUGUGAGGAAGUAUGCUGCUGAACAUGGUUAUGGAGAUGCUGAAGAAGCACUGAUAGAAGGAAUGAAUGCCAUGAGUGCAGAAUUCUUAGCUGCGAAGAAGACAAUUAGCGGCGAGCAACAUGGUGAAGUUGGUGGAGAAAUCUACUUGCCUGUAGAGUAUGUCAAUUCCAUGAAGAAUUAAAAAGGACGAGGGGUCAGGUGGGACAUGAAAAUGGUGCAAGCAACAAUGAAGUUAUUAAGAAGAAACAUGGGGGUGUCUGCAUCAUCAUCUGCUUAGGCAGGUUGGUCAGACUGAGAAAGUCCCUUUGAACCUGAACAGGAUCAUGCCUGCGUAGGGAGUGUGCAUUUUCUUUAUUUUCUUCUUUGCAGUGAUCUUCAUGUCUCUUUAACAAGAAAGGAAGGUUCUGACUCGUGAAAGCAGUCAGAAUAUGGCGAAUAUAUUCUAAGGUAUUAAUUAACCACGAAAUCCCAAUUUAGCUUGUUUGGAAGCAACUUGAUCAGAAGUUGCUUUUGUUAAAGCUGUUUAGUUUUGUUGUUAGAGUAAGAUCAGAAAUAAGGGCAUAAACACUAGUUAUGCCCUAAUAAAGCAAAAGAUUUAGAAAACCUAGUUAAUUAGGAUGUUGAGGAGGUUGGGACAUGAAAUUGAUAAUUAUGCCAAAACCCAAAAUGUUGUUUUUUGGAGAUUCAGUCUUAGCUAUACGCAACCUUGAUUGAUCCCGAUGAAUCUUAUAGUUGAGGAAAAUGUAAAGUGGUAGAUUUUUUGGAAAGUAAUAUUUUGUUACUAUCGUCGUCACAAUCACACUAAACAAACGUGAUUUUGUUUGAAAAGUGCGAUUGAACUAUUUUUAUUGGAAAAAAAAAGGAUUGAAAUACAGAUUUUGCAUAGAUCAUACAUUUUUUGUCAAAUAAUCUUUAUUUUAUUUUUUUUCGAUUUUUGUCGAUGUGACAAAGCUCUCUAGAAAAGAGUGAGGAGCUAUAGCUUAUCCUAAAUAUUAUUUGGUUUAUUUUGGCUAGAGUGACAGAAAAAUCUGUAUGAUAUGAAAUAUGGAUAAGUUUAUUUAGGCCUAAUGAGUUUUAGGACAUUUAAGUGUUUAUUGUUGUUAAAAAUUACGGAACGUACUACUGGAUAAUAGAGUUUAAUAAUUUAAAAUUUAGAAAAAUUGGUAAGCGUAAAAUGAUAUUUUAAAUAGAAGAAUAAAGUGAUUGAAAAGAUUUAAGUGAUGAAGAAGAGGGGAGAAAAAAUCAAAUUUAAUAAAAAAAACAAUUAUUUCAUUAUUAUGUUCUUAACCAAUGAUGGAUGAUAUUUGAUGUCAAUGGACAAGGCUUUGAUUUGUAUCAUAUUUUGGGUUUUGAAUCUAGCUUUCCUACUCUUUUUUGGGUAAUAUUAUUUGUACUAAUGUUAUUUUUUUU
Molecule: RNA transcript, 3292 nt
Organism: Impatiens glandulifera
Lineage: Eukaryota; Viridiplantae; Streptophyta; Magnoliopsida; Ericales; Balsaminaceae
Gene name: phosphomethylpyrimidine synthase, chloroplastic
Exons: 7
Source: RefSeq, a predicted model, not a curated record